GCGGAAGUUGGUUUCGACAGUUGCAUGGAUGUCUGUGACAAUCAACUAAAUGUGCAGUUGAAGAUCUACUCUAUAUAUGCAUCCCAUGAAGGUUUUGUGAGGACCUCACCUGUUCACCAUGCAGAAGGCAAAGAAGGCUGAACCAGAGAAAAAACAAGUCAAUCUAAAUACAGUGUCUCUGACUGACCUUGUUGAGGAGGAUGCUUGCUUCCUGGGAAGGAUCCCCCUUCAGAAGUUUGUG
Haliotis rufescens (red abalone) is the source of this 241-nucleotide long non-coding RNA. RefSeq lists it as uncharacterized. The record is from RefSeq and is a predicted model, not a curated record. The transcript is spliced from 3 exons. NCBI's taxonomy places the organism in Eukaryota, Metazoa, Mollusca, Gastropoda, Lepetellida, Haliotidae.